AUGUUAUUCGCUGACGACAGCAUAGUGUUCUUAGAAGGAUCCCAAGAUAACUUGACAGCCCUAAAAGAGAUUUUACAGAGGUACGAAGCAGCAUCCGGGCAGAAAGUUAACCUGCAAAAAUCAGCUAUAUUCUUUAGGAAGGGAUGUGCGGAGGAAGAAAAAGGACCACUUAAGCGAGUCAUUGGGAUCCAAACUGAGGCGCUUAGUGAGAGGUACCCUGGUCUACCCACAGUGGUUGGGAGUUCAAAGGACGGAACUUUUAAAUAUGUU
Molecule: ribosomal RNA, 270 nt
Filed under: Triticum aestivum (bread wheat)
Lineage: Eukaryota; Viridiplantae; Streptophyta; Magnoliopsida; Poales; Poaceae
Description: partial small subunit ribosomal RNA
Source: RNAcentral